CGCGAAAACUCCACAAUGCGCGAAAGCGUGAUGGGGGAAGUCCGAGUGGCAUGCCUUUGGCAUGUCUUUUGCCAAGUCCAGACAACUUGGCGAAUAAGUGCUGGGUAAGUCCGGUGGCAGCCGCCACGGUAAUACCGGCGGCACAAGUGGUGUCCACGAUUAUUGGGCUUAAAGGGCCAGUAGCCGGCCGGAACAGUCCUAUGUGAAAUGUUUGCUCUUAAAGCAAACGCGGGCAUAGGAUACCUUCC
This 248-nucleotide ribosomal RNA is filed under the name uncultured organism. Its description in RNAcentral is "partial 16S ribosomal RNA". It matches the Rfam family "Archaeal small subunit ribosomal RNA", at positions 340 to 589 of the family's 1478-position model. The record is from RNAcentral.